AUCACAUACAUCAGACGAUUCUUUAGCAUUCUGCAUGCAAUUAAAAUAAAUCCUAUGAUUCACCAAGACAAAAAUAAAAUUAUAUUAAAUUUAAAUAAUGUUAAAUUACUCUGUUUUGCCUCUG
Thalassophryne amazonica is the source of this 124-nucleotide long non-coding RNA. RefSeq lists it as uncharacterized. NCBI's taxonomy places the organism in Eukaryota, Metazoa, Chordata, Actinopteri, Batrachoidiformes, Batrachoididae. The record is from RefSeq and is a predicted model, not a curated record. The transcript has 3 exons.